UAAUGCUUAACCCUUGGACUCCUACAGUAAGAGCAGCUUCCAGAGAGAGACCUUUCCUUAAAAUAAUUAACUACAAGCUUAAUUCUGUGUUUGUUUGAUACUGUCCAAACAGCAAAGCACGCCAAGCAAUAUUUCUAGCUGCAGUACGCAAAAUAACAGCUACUGGAUGAAAGCUUAAUGGCUUUUUCAAUAAACGGAUUGAGUUCAAUGAAAAGCAAUUGUUUGGUCCACAUGAAUGAUCACUUAAGCGUUGUGGUUAAUAUGCUGAAGAGAAGCAAUGGUUUUUCGAAAUAACAAAAUCUCAGGGACAAGCCGCUGGCGAGUGUGAGAGCCUUCAAAGUGAACACAAAGUCUCAAUGCAAGUUAAGGAGUCAGGAGAACAAAACGUGCCGAUUAGGCCGUUUGUUAUUUGCUCCUCGGCCAUUCGUUGAUUCGUGUCAACUCGAAAUCCUGGCAUACUAUCGGGAUCUUACGAAGGGAAUAAGCAACAAUAAUAUGUCUGCAACGAUCUGUUUGGGUUACUUCUUCUCCGAGAUCGCCUGCAUAACACACGCGAUUCGAAGAAUAAGCUAACGCUACUUAAUGGCAAGGGGAUGUAGACUUCAACGAGCCACAAAAGGCGAGUUGGUCUCAUUGCUGGCUGUCAUUUGCCCUCAGCCACAUAUUGGUGAAGAUAUUAGGGUUUCUUUUGUCUCGGAAUGACUGAUAGUUCCCCCUCAUCCUCUUCACCUCGCCCCCUCUCUCUCUCUCAAAAAAACAAAAACAAAAACAAAAAACAAGAGUGCGAAAAAAUCUGCUAGCAACCUUGCUACUUUGUCACAGACAAACAGGUCUGUGGCAUGUUUUGUCGCUUACAAAUCAAUUCUCUUUCAUUAUUUAAAAAAAAAAAACACGCUUACCCAGCACCGAGAUAAAGUGAAGCUUAACAGUCACUGGAGUACCUGUGAAAAAAGCCUGCUUGCUCAUUUUGAAUUCAUCCAGAGAUACUUUGAAAUGUAUUUUCCACCUCCUAGCCGCCGGGAUGAUGGCUCCUCAUUCAAAGCUCAACCAAACAUGUAUUGCUUCACGCAAAACAAACGUAAGAAGACUUCACAAUGCCCCGCCCCCCAACUGGUUCUAUUGGUCACAUCCGGGGAUUUAGCCCCAAAGCCCUCGACUGUUUAGCCCGUAACCUGUUGCAAGACGCGUGCUCUAUUGGUCUGAGGCAGUGUCCGUCACAGGGUGUUAUGCAUGGAGGUAUGUCGGUGUUACCUUGAUUAUCUUUAUAAAAUUGCAUAAUACACUUGUACACUAACUGUAUCUCUGUAUCUAC
Astatotilapia calliptera (eastern happy) is the source of this 1312-nucleotide long non-coding RNA. The record is from Ensembl. Lineage: Eukaryota; Metazoa; Chordata; Actinopteri; Cichliformes; Cichlidae.